RNAcentral lists this ribosomal RNA (305 nucleotides) under uncultured bacterium. RNAcentral's name for it is "bacterial SSU rRNA". It matches the Rfam family "Bacterial small subunit ribosomal RNA", at positions 333 to 655 of the family's 1533-position model. The record is from RNAcentral.
UUGGUCCUACGGGAGGCAGCAGUGGGGAAUAUUGCACAAUGGGGGAAACCCUGAUGCAGCGACGCCGCGUGAGUGAAGAAGUGCCUCGGCACGUAAAGCUCUAUCAGCAGGGAAGAAAAUGACGGUACCUGACCAAGAAGCCCCGGCUAACUACGUGCCAGCAGCCGCGGUAAUACGUAGGGGGCAAGCGUUAUCCGGAUUUACCGGGUGUAAAGGGAGCGUAGACGGCGGCGCAAGUCUGGAGUGAAAUCCCGGGGCUCAACCCCGGAACUGCUUUGGAAACUGCGCGGCUCGAGUGCAGGAGG